CGCCGCAGCAUCGUGCAGAAGAGGGAGUCCCUGUGGAGCCACGAGCUGCGUCGGUCGCCACCACGUCGCGUCGGAGAGGAAGGCUGAGACUGAGCGCCGCUGGGAGAGAGGACGACGCGAGCUGGAGGUCCGGUCACCGCUGUGCUAUGGAGCAGACUGAA
This is a non-coding RNA of Arachis ipaensis, 161 nucleotides long. The record is from RefSeq and is a predicted model, not a curated record. Lineage: Eukaryota; Viridiplantae; Streptophyta; Magnoliopsida; Fabales; Fabaceae.